GGUUCAGACUUCAGAGAGAC
Molecule: small nuclear RNA, 20 nt
Filed under: Arabidopsis thaliana (thale cress)
Lineage: Eukaryota; Viridiplantae; Streptophyta; Magnoliopsida; Brassicales; Brassicaceae
Description: snRNA_09383
Source: RNAcentral